UUACAUAACUUUUUUUGUCUCAAGUUUUGUUGAAUUUUGUGAUAGCAAAGGACUGGAUUUCAUAGCUGGCUUUUGUGGACCUUAAUGACCAAUGAGAUUUUAGCUCCCUUUCUACUUAAGCUCUCCAAUUUCGCCCUUUACUUAUUGAUGUAAUUAAGCUUUGAAUACAAAGAAUUUAUAAAAUCUAGCACAACCACUUUUUCUUUUGCAGAAUUUAUGGUUUUUAAUUUCAUUUGGGACAUUAAUGUGAUAUGGGUACUUGCUAAUUUUAACGGAAAUGGUUCAUGUUUCAAUGUUUGAGUUAAUUUGCCUCUUGUUUAAAUAAAAUCUAUUGUGAAUGAGUAAUUUGAUUUGACAAAGGAAGUAGAUUUUGUAUUAAAUUUGAAUAUUUUUCACGGGGUAGUCAAUUUGCUUGAGAGUUGAGAUGAAUCUUUAGUUAUAGGCUUACUCAAUUGCUAUAUGAAUGGUGAUGAUGCAGUACUUCUAUUGAAUAUGAGCCAAUACUUUAUUAUGAGCAUCAAUUUAUUUUGAGUUAUCUUUGUUCACUGUGUAACUAAUAAGUUCAGAAUUGAUGCACCUGGACGAUCCGCUCAGUACUGAUCUAAGAAAUAUGAGUGCUUUAGCAAAGGUUUAUUUAUCAGCUUUACACAUUAUAUACCUAUACUUUAGAACUUAGUUACUUGCCAUUUUCAACCAAUUUGAUUAGUAAGUGCCUCUAUUGAUAUCCUUCGCAGAUAAUGUGGCAAAGGUGUAUUGAUAGAGGAGCCUUGACACUUGCUUUUGCCAGAGCUCAAGUUCCUGAUUGAUAUAAGCCUCGUGACACUCUCCACAUGGAUGAUGCAGUGAGAAAAGUGAUGAGAAUAAUGCUUCUCUGAAAGCUCUGGAAGAUGCAAUUACCACAAGAAUUUAAAAUAUUGGAGACAAAAGUAAAUUGGAAACAGGGAUGGUAAAGGAAGCAUGUGACAUCGAGAAGCAUCAUAUGCAGUUAGCUGAAAGCUACGAUCUCAAAUCUAAGCUGCAGAUAGCUUGUCAGGAAUGAUCUUUCUUCUUUCUGAGCUAUUGUCUCAAAUCUAAGCUGCAGAUAGAUGUUGGUCCUUGUACAUGGGUAGGAAAGCUGAUAAGCUGCAUACAAUUGGUAAAUAGGGUUAUGGUACUAAUGGAAGAAGCAUAGCGUUUUGCUUGCAGGGAGCACAAGUCAACAACUACAUGCAGGCUGCCUUCAAAACGAGUUGUAAAUUUCUUAUAAUCCGGAUUUGAUUUUUAGGAUGGUUGGGUGCGUUGGAUGUUGCUACAUUGCCCCUUUAUCAUGUAAAAAUGUUGUAAAUUUUUUUUUUUUUGACAAAUUUUGGAACUGUAUUUGUUAGGCAUAAGGUGUUAAGGAGGAUAUCAAUGGACAUGGCUGUUUGGCAUUUUGCUUAAAGUUUAGCAAUCUGAGGGUCGGUCUUUAUGUUAUCUUGUGCA
Long non-coding RNA from Chenopodium quinoa (quinoa), 1461 nucleotides. RefSeq lists it as uncharacterized. The transcript has 3 exons. The record is from RefSeq and is a predicted model, not a curated record. Lineage: Eukaryota; Viridiplantae; Streptophyta; Magnoliopsida; Caryophyllales; Amaranthaceae.